AAUAGACAGGAAAAAUCAUACUGGCUUUUGUUUGUAUAUAAAAGAUGCAAAAGAAUGCAUACUAGUAAUAACCAAGAAACCAAAAUGUUGCCUUUUUCUGCAUUUGCACCUGCACCUCCUUACAUCUCUCUUCUCUAUACUUAGAUUUUUAAAAAUCAUUGAAUGUAUUUGUAUUUUUUAAACUCAAGUUGUAGGGUGGAUAUCGAAAGAUAUAAAAGAUUAUCUCUCCAAGUCGUACAUACAACUUUCACCAAAUAUGAUUUUCUGCAGAAUUUUAUUUGCACUUAUGAGAUCGAGUAUGAAAUUCUGUUUACUUACUUUAAAUUGAGUCGUCGUUUUUCUCUAUAUUAUGUUAGAAUUGGAAAUCGUGUAUUUUACAUAUCCUUAUGAUCAAGUGCUUAGGUUUCUCAAGUAGUAUACAACUUUUUGCAGAAUUUUAUAUGCACCUAUGAGAUUGAGUAUGAAAUUUUGUUUACUUAAUUACUUUAAAUUGAGUAUAUGUUUCCCUCUAUAUCAUGUUAGAAUUGAAAAUCAUGUAUUUUACAUAUCCAUAUGAUUAUGUGCUUAGGUUUCCUAAAUAGUGUAAAACAAAAGUACUUCGAAUCAUUGUUAUUUGACUCAGAUCUGUUAAAUUUUUAUUUUUUCCUUACAACCAUGGAUUUCUACUCACUAUUCAUCUUUUUUUUCGAUUCGAUAUAUAUGUAGAUCGGAUCCUCAAACAAUAUUAUCAAACUCGUGUAGAAUCUGAAAAAUACAUUAUUUUUAAUGAAUUAUCCAACACAUACCUAAUGACAUUUCUUGGAAUUCUGUUUACUUACUUUAAAUUGAAUAACCCUUUUCCUCCUUAUCUUGUUAGAAUUGAAAAUAGUGUAUUUUUACAUAUCCAUAUGAUUAAGUGCUUAGGUUUCCAAAAUAGUUUUAAAUAAAAGUGCUUUAAAUAAUUGUUAUUUGACUCGGAUAUGUUAAAUUUUUUACAAAUAGCCAUGAAUUUCUACUCACUAUUCAUCUUCUGUUCGAUUAUGUCAAACUCGUGUCAGAUCUGAAAAAUAUAUUACUUUUGAUCAAUUAUCCAACACAUACCUAAUGACAUUUUUUGAAAAAAUUGAACAAUAUACUCUAUUUUUCACUAUCCAUGCCUUUCCCUUUCCCUUUCUCCUUUCCUUGGUUAUAGGAAAAAAGAAUUAAAAAGAGAAAAUAAGGGUCCAUUAUGAUAAAGACAUGUAAGUACAAUAUCAUAUAUAUAAUAAAUAAAUAAUAUUUACUAACCUCCUAUGUGACAAAAGAUUGAAAAGAAGGAGGUGCAGGCUCAAGUGCAGGUGAAUAUAGCAUUUUGAAAAGAAAAAAAGAAGUCUCAAGAUGCUUCUUUUAUAUAAUAAUAAUAUAUAGGGGAUUUGUCGAUAGAACCAAAAUGAACCGUCCCAUGAAAGAGUUUCAGGAGCCAGCUAAUAUUAAAGAUUUGAUUUUCAUGGUAUCUUAUUAUUGGAGAUUAUAAAGCAAAGACCAAGGUUACUGAGUUCGAUCUACUGAACUAUAUUGGCAGCUGGAAAGAUAGGAGCACCAAUG
Molecule: long non-coding RNA, 1563 nt
Organism: Solanum tuberosum (potato)
Lineage: Eukaryota; Viridiplantae; Streptophyta; Magnoliopsida; Solanales; Solanaceae
Exons: 3
Source: RefSeq, a predicted model, not a curated record